This is a long non-coding RNA of Taeniopygia guttata (zebra finch), 1828 nucleotides long. Lineage: Eukaryota; Metazoa; Chordata; Aves; Passeriformes; Estrildidae. The record is from Ensembl.
AAGCAAAUUCUCUUAUAUUUGUGAGUUUCAUCCCCAUUUAUGUGAUAACAGAGAACAGGUUACCUUUGUCUGAAGUAUAAAGAAGAAAAAAACACUUUAAGCAAUUUUUCUGGAAAUGAAUAAACGUACAUAAUUUAUAUUUAAGUUAAUUCUUUAAAACACAAAGGGGAAAAGAGUAACUGUCAUAACACAAUGAAAACUCCUAAUUAUGAUGGCUUGGAAUGGAAAAAAUUGGCUAUUGCAUUUGAUUGAUGACUUACAAUAAAAUUUGUAAAAUCAUGUAAUAAAAUGCUGUAUUAUAUUCAAACACACCUUUCUUUUCUCCAUUGAGGAUGUUGAAAUAAUCAGGAUUUCAUUCUCACCUUGAUGCUCAAGACUAAUUCUCUUAAGGUUUUUGUGAGCCAAAGUAAAAGUGAAUGCAGAAUAUGUCCCAUAUAUUUUAUUGGGUUAAAGUUCCUCAAGGAACAAAACUUCUAUCACAGGAAGUGUGGCUUAAUUAAGAUUUUGGUCAGAAUUUCAGCCUUCCAUUCUUGAGAGAAAUAUGCAAAGUAACUGGAGAUUUGUCUUAAAGGUCAAGACUAGAAAUGCAUGGCUCCACAGAUUCACAGUAUUAUAAUGGGUUUUUUCUCAACAAUCAUACACUAACUCAUAUUGUUACUUUUUUGUGCAUUAGAACUUUUUUUCUGUAUUAAGACAUUUACAGAAAAUUGACUAAUAAAGACUUGACCCCCAAAAGAGUAGAAAAUAUUACUGAUAGUUUUGUACUUGAAAAAGUUCAAUUUCUUUCAGUUUCUUUACAAGCUUCAUUUUCUAGUUACUGCUGCAAAAAUAUUUCUCAAUUCUGAAGAAAAAUUCCUUGUUUGGAAAGGCCUCUGAAAGGCUUAUCCCAAAAUUCAAAAGUUCUCAUGCUGUAUAAAUUCCUGUACUGUCAUUAAAAUUUAUGGAACUUCCCAACAAAAAUCAAGACAGGAUCUGGCCACAAAGAUUAAGAAUCCAUAUAUAACUGCUUUAUGUGGUUUCAUAUAAAGCUUAAUAAGUCUGCUGAUUUCAGGACAGGAUGAUGGGUGCUUCUCUGACUGAUUUUAAAUGUCACUCUAGAGAAGAAUUUUAAAGCAGUUAUAGCUCAGUGAAAUGACAUUGCCUGGUGGAUGAAAAUUGGAGGUAAAAAUUGAACAGGACUUUUUUUCCCCUGUGUCUUUUUCAAUGAAAAUAGACAUUUUUAAGACACAAAAGAUACUAUUUAGAUCUUCAGGUUGCCUCAGCAUGGUUGUAUAGCAAUAGAUAACUAGAAAAAAAUGGAUAAACCCCUUUUUAUGUUGAUAAAUGUCAUUUGUGGAGGACUGGUAGUUAAAUAAUGAGCCAAAUGGUUGGAUGAAAUCAAGAGAUCUCUGGUGCUUUAUAGUAAAUGCGGAUUUGUCCAAUUAUAGACAUCAGCAGGCCUUUUUAAUGGUAUUCUCCUUUUAUGUAAACAGAAGUACAGACAAAUACAGGGAGUAUCUGGCAGAUUUUAUAUGUGAUAUUUCUUUCUGAAAUUUCUGUCUCAAUUCUCAGUUGAAGAAUUCAGUAUAGGUUUGAAAUAACCUUUUCCUUCAUUUUAUUAUUAUUUGAGGCUCUGUUCAUUAAUAUUUCCUGAUUUCAUCCAUAGAGUGUUCACAACCCCCAAAAUAACACAGUUGAGUCCUACUACAUUAACCUGUUAAUAUUUCAGAAUUGAAAAAACAUAGUUUAUCGGGGAAAAAAACAUAUUGUGCCAAAAUCCAAAGCCACAAAUAGGAGAAAUGCCCUAAUAUUCUACAAAAUAAAAAUAUUUUCAGGGGAAAGGUAAUAU